ACUAGGGGAGAAGGUGGCUCUGUUACAGCCAGGAAACCACUAGAAGCACCUGGGCUUCUGUCGGAGGCUUCAAGCUCAUCCCUCAGGCGGGGCUGGGCCUCCGGUUCACCUGGAGUCCAGCAUGGGACCCUGUGCUGAGCCUGAGGCUCCUCUGCGUGGAGACAGCCCCACCCUCCCUGAGCUGGCUCCUUAGGGGCCUCACUGGGAAAAGCCAGGUCCCUUCCCACCCAUCCAUGAGAUGCCACCUCUGUGACAUGUUUUCUUGGAUGUAUCAGUAAGUCUUGAGGUGUCUUUGAUUCAGUUCCUCUCUCUGUACUAGGAACAUCCAGACUUAAUACUAUAGCUUCUUUCUAGGUUUUGAUAAUAGCCUCCCCUUUUUGUUCUCGAAAAUUCUCUUGCCCAUUCUUCAGUCUAUCAACUCUUGGUUCACUGUCAGCUAUCCCCUGGGCUGAGCACCUGGGCUGCAGCCAUAAACAGGACCUGAAGCCCCCACUGUGCGGCUCAGACAGGGAAUGAGGAGUGACACGGCGUCGCCCACAUCCAGCUUUCCCCAGACACCUCAAUCCUAAGAAUUACCCGCAGCUUCUUAAGAACUCUCAUUCCUCUGGAAACAGACAAGUGUCCAGCCACAGAUGAGUGGAUAAACACAGUGGUCUAGCCAUACAAUAGGAUAUGAUUCAGCCAUAAAAAGGGGUGAAGCACUGAAAAUGCUACAACACGGAUGAACCCGGAAAACAUGAUGCUCAGUGAGAGAAGCCAGACACAAAAGGGCAGAGAUUGCAUGAUCCCACUGAUUCUUCAUAUUCGUUCUAGGUGUGACACUUCUGGAACAGGCAAGUCCAUAGAGACAGCAAGAAGACCAAAGCUGACAACCAUCUGGGCCGUUUCCACCUUUGGGCCAUCGUGAGAAUCACGCUGCUAUGAACGUUCGGGAACAAGCUUUUGUGUUCCCCAGGGUACCUGGACACCUACCGGAGUCAUGGACCAGCAAUGCAGGUGCUGUUGAUGUUGGGGGCAUUGGGGGCAGAAAUGGC
Long non-coding RNA from Homo sapiens (human), 1034 nucleotides. RefSeq lists it as uncharacterized. The record is from RefSeq and is a predicted model, not a curated record. The transcript is spliced from 3 exons. Lineage: Eukaryota; Metazoa; Chordata; Mammalia; Primates; Hominidae.